AGAUGUGAGGGCAAUCUGACUGUCACCCAUGGAUCGCCAGGGUUGGUUCAGCUGGGCCGGCUGGCUAGGUGGGUGUCCCCUUCUCCUGUCACCACACCAUGUGUGUCCCUCCCAAAGCUGUGCUCAGUCAAAGAGGACGGCCAUCCCCGAUAGAGGAGUAGCUGUGAUCCC
This 171-nucleotide small nuclear RNA is filed under the name Dipodomys ordii (Ord's kangaroo rat). RNAcentral describes it as "7SK RNA". It matches the Rfam family "7SK RNA". From Rfam's summary of the family: 7SK was discovered as an abundant small nuclear RNA in the mid-70s but a possible function has only recently been suggested. Two independent studies have found that 7SK RNA binds the CDK9/cyclin T complex (known as elongation factor P-TEFb). P-TEFb activates transcription by phosphorylating the C-terminal domain of RNA polymerase II. Lineage: Eukaryota; Metazoa; Chordata; Mammalia; Rodentia; Heteromyidae. The record is from Rfam by way of RNAcentral.